Non-coding RNA from Oryza sativa Japonica Group (Japanese rice), 3806 nucleotides. Lineage: Eukaryota; Viridiplantae; Streptophyta; Magnoliopsida; Poales; Poaceae. The record is from RefSeq and is a predicted model, not a curated record.
GCAAAGGAAGACUUUGCCAACUUGCAUAACUAUAGAACGACUCGCAGAUCGAUCUACCUCCCAAGAGUCACUAUUAAUAUAUAUAUAUAUAUAUAUCAAGAACCGAGAAAUAUAUAUGAUUACUCCAUAUAUAUAGUGUGUACUCUUUGCUAGGUAGGAGUAGAUCGAUCGAGCCAGUCGCCCAGUGCUGCUCCUGCAGCGAUGGCGGAGGCAGCCGGGACGAGGGCUUCACAGCAGCAGGAGGAAGCAGCUGGGAUUGAGAACGGAGGAGGCAAGGACCAGCUGCCAGAAGAUACAAGUAAGUUAAACAUAACAGUCCUCUGGCUUGCAAUCUACUUUAGGUUGAUGGACGGCUUCGGGAAGCUGGCACUUGCCUGGGCCACCGUUGUGCUGCUAGGUGGAUUCUCCACCCUGAUAAAGCCCAAGGACUUUUGGUUCGUCACCAUCAUCGUGGUCAUGCAAAUAACAAGGGUUUUUGGCGGUUCCCAGAAACCCGAGGAUCAACUCUUUAUUCGGGUACCACUCUCGAUGCUGCACCGUGACGAACUUACGCAUGUUGGACUCGGAAGUUGGCGGAAGAACACAAUAAAGAACGGAGAGGCCAGCAAAGGCUCGUCAAGCGUACGACAGAAUCAACGCAAUGUCCUAGUUCGCAUGUUUUGCCCAAAGCGCCAUGUCAAGAUGACCAUAUUCCAGACAACCCUGACAUGGAUGGAGGCAGCUGCACUCGUCGCUUGCAUCUUCAUAUCGUUCCGGCGUUUACUCAAGCAAGACUACGUCGAUCCAAAAGACAAAGUUAAGGAUGACCACAAGAACAUUAGAGGUUCCCUGAAUGUCUUCUAUGGGCUGGCCCUUGCCCAUAGCAUGUCCUACUACAUCUUGAUUGUUGCGUUCCAGUUUUUAGUGGCUCCAUUGGUAAGGUUGGUCCAUUCUAGUUACAAGCUUCAUGACUGGGGCAUGGAUGCAGUUUCUGAGUAUACAGCCAAAAAGCUUUGGGCAUUCAUUAGGUAUAAUGUUAGGGAAGCUCUCGAGAUGAAUUUGAUCACCUUUGGAAAGGAGCUGGCACGAUCCGAUUCAAUUGAUGACCAGUUGAAAGGAGUUAGGAUUCUUGAUUACAUCAUAAGAUGGGAGAAGCAGCACUUAUCUAGAGCAGGUGUUCUUGACAUCUACAAGAUUGAGAAGUACAAAGGGAGGGUGCUUACAAGUAUUCGAGCUUCCACUGAGACACUAGAGAGAGUGGUGAAUAUGCUGGGGCUGAAUUUGAAGAGCCUAGAAGAGGAAGAAACUAGAGGUCAUGCAGCAUCCAUAGUGCUUGAACUUGCUCCAUACCUCCUAUUCGAGAAUUUGCCUGCAAUGCCACAGCUUAUAGCCUCACUACUAACGACAGGCCGAGAGAGGAUCAAUGAAGGCCCCCAUGACAUAAAUAGUGUGGAGCUCACUUGUUAUGGUGUGAAAAUUCUUGAAAGGCUUGUAGAGAAUCCAGAUAACCGCAGAUCUGUGGCUGAUGCCAAUGUCGUUUUGUCGAAAAUUGUAGAACUGCUAAACUUCAGAGAUGAUUGUAAGGUACCUGUUCCAGAUGAAACUGAGAAUAGAAGCCAAGAAGAGAUAGUUGAGGCCUCACUAAAUGUCCUGCACAAGCUAGUUAGCACUACUGGUGAGACUGGCGAAGCUCUACGAAGCACCAUUUCCAAGAAUUCUGAGAUCAUGAGCAACAUCAGAAAAAUCCUGUAUCAGCAUGAUAACAAGAACAGUAGUUUAUCUGUUCAUGCUGUAAAAAUCCUUUCUUGCUUAGCGAUGCAUGAGACUGCUAGAGAAGUGAUUGGAAGUUCUUGCCAGAUCGUCAGGAAGCUUGUUUCGUCGGUUCUUCCAAGGCCUAUGGAUAUUGUUCAAGAUGGCAACAAUGGAUCCACAGUUGCUGACUCAGCCGCACAGGCAUUAGUUCUGCUAAGUACUGGGAGUGAAUACAACAGGGCAACCAUCCUUGAUAAAAUUAAUCUGGAAGAGCUUGUCGGCAUGCUCUUUGAUGCUUCCAUGGAGCAAAGGAUUAUGAUAGCACAUCUGCUUAAACAUUUGCGGACGUAUUCAGGCCCAGGUUAUGGAAACCAACUGAAGAAAGUAAUUGACGGUUCUCUGCCAAAGUUAUUGGAAGAAAUCAAAGUUGCAGUUCAGAAGCUCGAUAAUCCUGAAUUCCCUGAUGGACAACCUUCUCAUGACCUGAAAGAACUGAAAGCUGAAGAAGGCAAACUACUAGACAGCUUUAUUGGCCUCAGCUCACAGAUUUGCCACUCCUUGCAAGCCAUUGAUUUUGAUAAGGCUCUACAGAGUGCCAACCUUACAAUGGAUACGUAUGCUCAAGAUGGUACUGAGCGUGUGCAAAUCUCCUACCACCGAUUUCCCGGGGAUAAGAAGAGUAACACUCAGUCAGAUGAAAUGGCUGAUAAAAAAUAACGAAGAUUACGUUGGGGUGUUCAAGAGGUAUGAAAUGGACAAGGCGCUGAAGGAAGUGGCAGAGACAGCAACUGAGCUCGAGAGCUUCGAGCUAUUCUGCAGUGGUUCUGGUGUUGGCAAGCAUGAUGAGCCCAUCUCUUCUGCUGUCAGAUCUACUUUGGCGCUGCUUGCAGGAGAUUCAGCAUAAUGAUAACAUUGAUUACUGCGUUUGAAGGUAUCAAGGAUCAAGCUGUCGACGAGUGAUACUUGUAUACCGGAUGAUUAGGGUAUUGGGAUAUGUUGGAACGAGGAUCUACGUAAUACGACAUCAAGCAGACAAAAGACAAGGAUUAUACUGGUUCGGGCCCCUUAUCAGGUUGUAUUCGAUCUACUACGUACCACACCUUAUUUUCUACUAUGCUCGUCCGACCAGUAUAAAAUGGGGGUGAUGCCACCCCAGUGUUGAUGCAACGAGAAGACAGAUCUAAGAAAUAAAUUACCAACACUCCCGAUCAAUGUCUCACAAACCCGAUCAAAAAUGUGCGACGCACCAAGAUUGCGACGCCAUGGCAGUGCCACCAAAAAAUGAUGCAGAGGCAUUUGAUCAGCCUGAUCCAAAUGAUGAGAGGCUGCCGGAAGAGAAGCUCAACACCAUGGCCGUACGCAUUGCGUUCUUCUACAGGGUGAUGAACGGUUGUGGUGCACUGGCUUUCGCAUGGGCCACGGUGGUGUUGCUAGGUGGAUACGCUACCCUCAUCAAACAGAAGGAUUUCUGGUUCGUGACCAUCAUCGUCUUCAUGGAAGCAACCUGGCUGCAUGGCACGGAUCAGGAUCGUCUGCCUUCACGGGGUAACUGCACGAGCGUGCAGUCAGCACACAUCCACCGUCCGAGCCAUCCAACGGCUAUCGCGUGACGUGUACCCUUAAACAACCAGCCCAGGAAAGCCCACGCUCACAAGUGAUAGACUGAUAGCGGACACACCUCUGGACUCCGAUAACAUAUGCGUUCGUUGUCGUUAUCGCCGGCCGUCGUCGUUCACGGCGGGGACUGACCUGAAGCUCUUCACUGGGAUGCGCCGCCACCAGAGCCACCGGGAGCUGUAGCUUCCUCGCUGUCCCCUUGAGCGUCGUGCACGUACUCCACUGGUCCAUCUUCUUGCUAGGAUUGGAUAUGCAGCAAUUGGAAGCAAUUCAACAUGCUUGCUGCCUGUGGAACUUGGAAAAUAUGGAUGCACCAAGACCAAGUAGUAGCAUAACACGAUUACAGUUACAAUGAGCAGCAAGCAAAGCUUGCGUUCUGAACUUCUGAUUCGAUCGACUAUGCAGCAAGCAACGUAUUACGUAAAGUACGCAUUCAAUCAGCUGGUUUUCUACGGAAA